UACCAGCACCCCGAGUGGUCGGGACGAUUAUUGGGCCUAAAGCAUCCGUAGCCGGCCUUACAAGUCUUCCGUUAAAUCCAACUGCUUAACAGGUGGGCUGCGGAAGAUACUAUAGAGCUAGGAGGCGGGAGAGGCAAGCGGUACUCGAUGGGUAGGGGUAAAAUCCGUUGAUCCAUUGAAGACCACCAGUGGCGAAGGCGGCUUGCCAGAACGCGCUCGACGGUGAGGGAUGAAAGCUGGGGGAGCAAACCGG
Molecule: ribosomal RNA, 253 nt
Filed under: uncultured bacterium
Lineage: Bacteria
Description: partial 16S ribosomal RNA
Rfam family: Archaeal small subunit ribosomal RNA
Source: RNAcentral